This 448-nucleotide ribosomal RNA is filed under the name uncultured bacterium. RNAcentral's name for it is "bacterial SSU rRNA". It matches the Rfam family "Bacterial small subunit ribosomal RNA", at positions 330 to 794 of the family's 1533-position model. The record is from RNAcentral.
GCCAGACUCCUACGGGAGGCAGCAGUGGGGGAUAUUGCACAAUGGGGGGAACCCUGAUGCAGCGACGCCGCGUGGGUGAAGAAGUAUUUCGGUAUGUAAAGCCCUAUCGGCAGGGAAGAAAUUGGACGGUACCUGACUAAGAAGCCCCGGCUAACUACGUGCCAGCAGCCGCGGUAAUACGUAGGGGGCAAGCGUUAUCCGGAUUCACUGGGUGUAAAGGGAGCGUAGACGGCCAUGCAAGCCUGGAGUGAAAGCCCGGGGCCCAACCCCGGGACUGCUCUGGGAACUGUGCGGCUGGAGUGCGGGAGGGGCAGGCGGAAUUCCUGGUGUAGCGGUGAAAUGCGUAGAUAUCAGGAGGAACACCGGCGGCGAAGGCGGCCUGCUGGACCGCGACUGACGUUGAGGCUCGAAAGCGUGGGGAGCAAACAGGAUUAGAUACCCCUGUAGA